Molecule: ribosomal RNA, 457 nt
Filed under: uncultured bacterium
Lineage: Bacteria
Description: bacterial SSU rRNA
Rfam family: Bacterial small subunit ribosomal RNA
Source: RNAcentral
UACGGAAGGCAGCAGUGGGGAAUAUUGCACAAUGGGCGCAAGCCUGAUGCAGCCAUGCCGCGUGUAUGAAGAAGGCCUUCGGGUUGUAAAGUACUUUCAGUCGUGAGGAAGGUGUUAAGGUUAAUAACCUUAGCAAUUGACGUUAGCGACAGAAGAAGCACCGGCUAACUCCGUGCCAGCAGCCGCGGUAAUACGGAGGGUGCGAGCGUUAAUCGGAAUUACUGGGCGUAAAGGGCACGCAGGCGGUUAAUUAAGUUGGAUGUGAAAUCCCCGGGCUUAAACCUGGGAAUGGCAUUCAAGACUGGUUAGCUAGAGUCUUGUAGAGGGGGUAGAAUUCCAUGUGUAGCGGUGAAAUGCGUAGAGAUGUGGAGGAAUACCGGUGGCGAAGGCGGCCCCUGGACAAAGACUGACGCUCAUGUGCGAAAAGCGUGGGGAGCGAAAACAGGGAUUAGAUACC